AACCUACCUAUAAGACUGGGAUAACUUCGGGAAACCGGAGCUAAUACCGGAUAAUAUUUUGAACCGCAUGGUUCAAAAGUGAAAGACGGUCUUGCUGUCACUUAUAGAUGGAUCCGCGCUGCAUUAGCUAGUUGGUAAGGUAACGGCUUACCAAGGCAACGAUGCAUAGCCGACCUGAGAGGGUGAUCGGCCACACUGGAACUGAGACACGGUCCAGACUCCUACGGGAGGCAGCAGUAGGGAAUCUUCCGCAAUGGGCGAAAGCCUGACGGAGCAACGCCGCGUGAGUGAUGAAGGUCUUCGGAUCGUAAAACUCUGUUAUUAGGGAAGAACAUAUGUGUAAGUAACUGUGCACAUCUUGACGGUACCUAAUCAGAAAGCCACGGCUAACUACGUGCCAGCAGCCGCGGUAAUACGUAGGUGGCAAGCGUUAUCCGGAAUUAUUGGGCGUAAAGCGCGCGUAGGCGGUUUUUUAAGUCUGAUGUGAAAGCCCACGGCUCAACCGUGGAGGGUCAUUGGAAACUGGAAAACUUGAGUGCAGAAGAGGAAAGUGGAAUUCCAUGUGUAGCGGUGAAAUGCGCAGAGAUAUGGAGGAACACCAGUGGCGAAGGCGACUUUCUGGUCUGUAACUGACGCUGAUGUGCGAAAGCGUGGGGAUCAAACAGGAUUAGAUACCCUGGUAGUCCACGCCGUAAACGAUGAGUGCUAAGUGUUAGGGGGUUUCCGCCCCUUAGUGCUGCAGCUAACGCAUUAAGCACUCCGCCUGGGGAGUACGACCGCAAGGUUGAAACUCAAAGGAAUUGACGGGGACCCGCACAAGCGGUGGAGCAUGUGGUUUAAUUCGAAGCAACGCGAAGAACCUUACCAAAUCUUGACAUCCUUUGACAACUCUAGAGAUAGAGCUUUCCCCUUCGGGGGACAAAGUGACAGGUGGUGCAUGGUUGUCGUCAGCUCGUGUCGUGAGAUGUUGGGUUAAGUCCCGCAACGAGCGCAACCCUUAAGCUUAGUUGCCAUCAUUAAGUUGGGCACUCUAAGUUGACUGCCGGUGACAAACCGGAGGAAGGUGGGGAUGACGUCAAAUCAUCAUGCCCCUUAUGAUUUGGGCUACACACGUGCUACAAUGGACAAUACAAAGGGCAGCGAAACCGCGAGGUCAAGCAAAUCCCAUAAAGUUGUUCUCAGUUCGGAUUGUAGUCUGCAACUCGACUACAUGAAGCUGGAAUCGCUAGUAAUCGUAGAUCAGCAUGCUACGGUGAAUACGUUCCCGGGUCUUGUACACACCGCCCGUCACACCACGAGAGUUUGUAACACCCGAAGCCGGUGGAGUAACCUUUUAGGAGCUAGCCGUCGAAGGUGGGACAAAUGAUUGGGGUGAAGUCGUAACAAGGUAGCCGUAUCGGAAGGUGCGGCUG
Molecule: ribosomal RNA, 1412 nt
Filed under: Staphylococcus aureus
Lineage: Bacteria; Bacillati; Bacillota; Bacilli; Caryophanales; Staphylococcaceae
Description: bacterial SSU rRNA
Rfam family: Bacterial small subunit ribosomal RNA
Source: RNAcentral